Molecule: non-coding RNA, 197 nt
Filed under: Neobacillus sp. SuZ13
Lineage: Bacteria; Bacillati; Bacillota; Bacilli; Caryophanales; Bacillaceae
Description: 6S RNA
Rfam family: 6S / SsrS RNA
About the family: E. coli 6S RNA was the first non coding RNA to be sequenced, but its function was unknown until recently. It consists of 184 nucleotides that fold into an extended hairpin structure with a large single-stranded internal bulge.
Source: RNAcentral
UACAAGCUGCGUUGUUCGUACUCAUAAUAAAGUUUUAACCUUUAAGCUGUAAAAGGGAGUUUAACCAUUGGAACUGGAAUGACAAGCCUCUGUCUAUAAGACUUGGAGGACAUGCAGGAAGGGUUUCUGAGAACACCCACUUUGAGGAGUGGUGGUUUAAAACUUUCUUAUAUUAAUACGGCAAAUGCGGCUACAUA